GACGAACGCUGGCGGCGUGCUUAACACAUGCAAGUCGAACGGAAAGGCCCUGCUUUUGUGGGGUGCUCGAGUGGCGAACGGGUGAGUAACACGUGAGUAACCUGCCCUUGACUUUGGGAUAACUUCAGGAAACUGGGGCUAAUACCGGAUAGGAGCUCCUGCUGCAUGGUGGGGGUUGGAAAGUUUCGGCGGUUGGGGAUGGACUCGCGGCUUAUCAGCUUGUUGGUGGGGUAGUGGCUUACCAAGGCUUUGAUGGGUAGCCGGCCUGAGAGGGUGACCGGCCACAUUGGGAUGGGGGAACGGCCCAGGCGCAUUCGGGAGGAAGCAGUGGGGAAUAGUGCACAACGGGCGGAAGCCUGAUGCAGCAACUCCGCGUGCGGGAUGACGGCCUUCGGGUUGUAAACGGCUUUCGCCUGUGACGAAGCGUGAGGGACGGUAAUGGGUAAAGAAGCACCGGCUAACUACGU
This 467-nucleotide ribosomal RNA is filed under the name uncultured bacterium. RNAcentral describes it as "partial 16S ribosomal RNA". It matches the Rfam family "Bacterial small subunit ribosomal RNA", at positions 28 to 506 of the family's 1533-position model. The record is from RNAcentral.